RNAcentral lists this unclassified non-coding RNA (175 nucleotides) under uncultured Agaricales. RNAcentral describes it as "sequence contains ITS1". The record is from RNAcentral. Lineage: Eukaryota; Fungi; Basidiomycota; Agaricomycetes; Agaricales.
UUGAAUUCCAAAGGAUGUUGCUGGCGUCGCGAGACGCAUGUGCACUCCGCCUUUUCAAACCCCUGUGCACUUAUGGUAGGCGGGUGGAUAUUAAGUUCUGCCUGCCUAUGUUUUAUUAUACACUCUGAAGUUUAUAGAAUGUAUCAGUUAGACCUUGAUUGGUCGAAACAUAAUA